CAGUCGCCGCGGUAAUACGAAGGGGGCUAGCGUUGCUCGGAAUGACUGGGCGUAAAGGGCGCGUAGGCGGCGGCCAAAGUCAGGCGUGAAAUUCCCGGGCUCAACCUGGGGACUGCGUUUGAUACUUGGUUGCUUGAGUGGGGAAGAGGGUCGUGGAAUUCCCAGUGUAGAGGUGAAAUUCGUAGAUAUUGGGAAGAACACCGGUGGCGAAGGCGGCGACCUGGUCCUUUACUGACGCUGAGGCGCGAAAGCGUGGGGAGUAAACAGGAUUAGAUACCCCGGUAGUCCCUGUCUCUUAUAC
Molecule: ribosomal RNA, 301 nt
Filed under: uncultured bacterium
Lineage: Bacteria
Description: partial 16S ribosomal RNA
Rfam family: Bacterial small subunit ribosomal RNA
Source: RNAcentral